UACGGAGGAUCCGAGCGUUAUCCGGAUUUAUUGGGUUUAAAGGGUGCGUAGGUGGCCUGGUAAGUCAGUGGUGAAAGUUUUCGGCUUAACCGGAAAAUUGCCAUUGAUACUGUCGGGCUUGAAUUCAGAUGAGGUAGGCGGAAUGUGUCAUGUAGCGGUGAAAUGCAUAGAUAUGACCCAGAACACCGAUUGCGAAGGCAGCUUACUAAACUGAGAUUGACACUGAGGCACGAAAGCGUGGGGAUCAAACAGG
Molecule: ribosomal RNA, 253 nt
Filed under: uncultured bacterium
Lineage: Bacteria
Description: partial 16S ribosomal RNA
Rfam family: Bacterial small subunit ribosomal RNA
Source: RNAcentral